ACCUGCAACACUGUGUGUAGCUGGUUGACAUCGGGUCAGAUCUGUUUUUCAAGCAUUUGGUCCCCUUCAACCAGCUGUAGCCAGUGGUUGAUGACAAC
This is a non-coding RNA of Drosophila melanogaster (fruit fly), 98 nucleotides long. Its record names the gene mir-133. NCBI's taxonomy places the organism in Eukaryota, Metazoa, Arthropoda, Insecta, Diptera, Drosophilidae. The record is from Ensembl.